AACGUAGGAGCCUAGCGUUAUCCGAAUUCACUGGGCGUAAAGCGCGUGCAGGCGGUUCGGUAAGUUGGAUGUGAAAUCUCCUGGCUCAACUGGGAGAGGACGUUCAAGACUGUCGGACUAGAGGACGGUAGAGGAAGGUAGAAUUCCCGGUGUAGUGGUGAAAUGCGUAGAUAUCGGGAGGAAUACCAGUGGCGAAGGCGGCCUUCUGGGCCGUUCCUGACGCUCAGACGCGAAAGCUAGGGGAGCAAGCGGG
RNAcentral lists this ribosomal RNA (253 nucleotides) under uncultured bacterium. RNAcentral's name for it is "partial 16S ribosomal RNA". It matches the Rfam family "Bacterial small subunit ribosomal RNA", at positions 524 to 776 of the family's 1533-position model. The record is from RNAcentral.